RNAcentral lists this ribosomal RNA (425 nucleotides) under uncultured bacterium. RNAcentral's name for it is "partial 16S ribosomal RNA". It matches the Rfam family "Bacterial small subunit ribosomal RNA", at positions 354 to 796 of the family's 1533-position model. The record is from RNAcentral.
GUGGGGAAUCUUAGACAAUGGGGGCAACCCUGAUCUAGCCAUGCCGCGUGAGUGAUGAAGGCCUUAGGGUCGUAAAGCUCUUUCGCUGGGGAAGAUAAUGACGGUACCCAGUAAAGAAACCCCGGCUAACUCCGUGCCAGCAGCCGCGGUAAUACGGAGGGGGUUAGCGUUGUUCGGAAUUACUGGGCGUAAAGCGCGCGUGGGUGGAUGGGAAAGUUGGGGGUGAAUUCGCGGGGCUCAACCCUGGAAUGGCCAUAAAAACUCCGCGUCUUGAGGUCGAGAGAGGUGAGUGGAAUUCCGAGUGUAGAGGUGAAAUUCGUAGAUAUUCGGAGGAACACCAGUGGCGAAGGCGGCUCACUGGCUCGAUACUGACGCUGAGGUGCGAAAGCGUGGGGAGCAAACAGGAUUAGAAACCCUGGUAGUCC